GCAUAUCAAUAAGCGGAGGAAAAGAAACCAACAGGGAUUGCCUUAGUAACGGCGAGUGAAGCGGCAACAGCUCAAAUUUGAAAUCUGGCCCUCGGGUCCGAAUUGUAAUUUGUAGAGGAUGCUUUUGGUGCGGUGCCUUCUGAGUUCCUUGGAACAGGACGCCUUAGAGGGUGAGAGCCCCGUACAGUUGGACACCAAGCCUUUGUAAAGCUCCUUCGACGAGUCGAGUAGUUUGGGAAUGCUGCUCUAAAUGGGAGGUAAAUUUCUUCUAAAGCUAAAUAUUGGCCAGAGACCGAUAGCGCACAAGUAGAGUGAUCGAAAGAUGAAAAGUACUUUGAAAAGAGGGUUAAAUAGCACGUGAAAUUGUUGAAAGGGAAGCGUUUAUGACCAGACCUUCGUCGGGCGGAUCAUCCGGUGUUCUUCACCGGUGCACUUCGCCCGGCUUAGGCCAGCAUCGGUUUUCGUAGGGGGAUAAAGGCCUAGGGAAUGUGGCUCCCUCCGGGGAGUGUUAUAGCCCUGGGCGUAAUACCUUUAUGGGGACCGAGGUUCGCGCUCCGGCAAGGAUGCUGGCGUAAUGGUCAUCAACGACCCGUCUAAAUAACGGCCUC
RNAcentral lists this ribosomal RNA (608 nucleotides) under Ascomycota sp. E-Yming R. Its description in RNAcentral is "eukaryotic LSU rRNA". It matches the Rfam family "Eukaryotic large subunit ribosomal RNA", at positions 38 to 664 of the family's 3401-position model. The record is from RNAcentral. Lineage: Eukaryota; Fungi; Ascomycota.